Molecule: long non-coding RNA, 769 nt
Organism: Mauremys reevesii (Reeves's turtle)
Lineage: Eukaryota; Metazoa; Chordata; Testudines; Geoemydidae
Exons: 2
Source: RefSeq, a predicted model, not a curated record
CCAGCCCUGCCAAGAACGCUCUGAGGGCUGAUGAUAGACAACUUGCCCAUCAAAAUACAGGGCAUGCUGGGAACAGCCCAGCACAGACAGCUGCGUGGACAUGGAGACAAAACGGGCCUCUGGUCCCGAGAGAGUGGGCCCUGAACUGCACAGCUGAGCUGAGUUAGCAGAGGGAGAGGGGGAAGAUGGUCUACUCUUUGGGCGGCAUAUUAAAAGAACCCGUCAGUCAGGCACAAUCCACUAGCGUGAAAUUCACAUUAACAUUGAGAAAACAAAGGCAGCGUGGAGAACAGGGAACUUCAAACAGUGCCACGUUUUCAAUAUUAUUGUGCUGAAUGAGCUUCCAGCCACCUGUCAGGGUGCAGCGUCUCCAUCCCCAGCACCCAGGACUGGCUCUAGGCACCAGCAAAGCAAGCAUGUGCUUGGGGUGGCACGUUUCCAGGGGCGGCAUUCUGGCUGACGUCUUCAAAAAUUCCAGCAUCAAGCCCCAGCUCUCCUCAGGCAGCAAAGUGCCCACCAGCUGCCUGGAUGUGGGGGGCAGUGGCCCUCCGGGCUGCUGUGACAAAGUCUGCCUGACACCGGAGUUUGCCAAGAGCUACUUCAUGUUCCUAAAGCCCGAGUCCCCCGAGGAACAACGAGAAAGCCGCUGAGAACUUGCCAGGACCGGGAAGGAAGCCCCGAGCAGCCAAUAACACCGUCAGUGCCGCCAGCCAGCUCAAACACAGCUUGGCUUGGCCACUUCAGAGUUGGUUCCAGAGUGGCUGGGACA